GGAGGGCGACGCGAUCUGGGAUCGCCGCCGGCUUGAACCCGGAAGGACGCUCGCGCGUUGGGGUUCGAUUCCUCCGCCCUCCU
RNAcentral lists this transfer RNA (83 nucleotides) under Myxococcales bacterium. RNAcentral's name for it is "tRNA-Ser". The record is from RNAcentral. Lineage: Bacteria; Pseudomonadati; Myxococcota; Myxococcia; Myxococcales.